RNAcentral lists this ribosomal RNA (434 nucleotides) under uncultured soil bacterium. RNAcentral's name for it is "bacterial SSU rRNA". It matches the Rfam family "Bacterial small subunit ribosomal RNA", at positions 26 to 518 of the family's 1533-position model. The record is from RNAcentral.
AGAGCGAACGCUGGCGGCAGGCCUAAUACAUGCAAGUCGAGCGGCCCUUCGGGGUAGCGGCGGACGGGUGAGUAACGCGUGGGAACGUGCCCUUUGGUACGGAACAACUGAGGGAAACUUCAGCUAAUACCGUAUGUGCCUUUCGGGGGAAAGAUUUAUCGCCAUUGGAGCGGCCCGCGUUAGAUUAGCUAGUUGGUGGGGUAAAGGCCUACCAAGGCAACGAUCUAUAGCUGGUCUGAGAGGAUGAUCAGCCACACUGGGACUGAGACACGGCCCAGACUCCUACGGGAGGCAGCAGUAGGGAAUCUUGCGCAAUGGGCGAAAGCCUGACGCAGCCAUGCCGCGUGAAUGAUGAAGUCUAGAUUGUAAAUUCUUCACGGACGAUAAGUGACGGUACCGAGAAGAAGCCCGGCUAACUCGUGCCAGCACGCCGC